This 357-nucleotide unclassified non-coding RNA is filed under the name soil metagenome. RNAcentral's name for it is "partial contains 5.8S ribosomal RNA, internal transcribed spacer 2, and large subunit ribosomal RNA". The stretch from base 1 to 120 matches the Rfam family "5.8S ribosomal RNA", at positions 35 to 154 of the family's 154-position model. The record is from RNAcentral.
GAUGAAGAACGCAGCGAAAUGCGAUACGUAGUGUGAAUUGCAGAAUUCAGUGAAUCAUCGAAUCUUUGAACGCACAUUGCGCCCGCUGGUAUUCCGGCGGGCAUGCCUGUUCGAGCGUCAUUUCAACCCUCAAGCUCUCCGGAGUUUGGUGUUGGGGCGCCUGGGGCUUUUCGACCUCAGGGCCCUCAAGUCCAUCGGCGGGACCGCCAGGACACUGAGCGCAGUAGUAUUAUUUCGCUCGGUAGGAUCUUCCACGGCGGGUCGAUCUGGCCGCUAAACCCCCCAAUUCUCACCAAAGGUUGACCUCGUAUCAGGUAGGAAUACCCGCUGAACUUAAGCAUAUCAAUAAGCAGAGGA